Neogale vison (American mink) is the source of this 104-nucleotide small nucleolar RNA. RefSeq annotates it as small nucleolar RNA U13. The transcript has a single exon. The record is from RefSeq and is a predicted model, not a curated record. Lineage: Eukaryota; Metazoa; Chordata; Mammalia; Carnivora; Mustelidae.
AUGCUUUUCUAGUUCAUAAGCAAGUUGAGAGGGUGUUCACACUCUUAUGGGACAUGUGCCUCCCUUACACCCUGUUAUAACCUUGGCACAUUACCCAUCUGACA